GGUCACUGGAACCAAGCUGUUCAGAGUCUGACACUGAAUGUGAGGAAGAUAUUUUCAGAUGCCGAUCAAGAACUUUUUGAUGACUGCUUGGUUAAAUUCCAAGAAGAUGAAGUAAAGGAGAGAGAAAUGCAGGAGAAGAGAGAAUCAAUAUGGAAAAGAUUGGAGGAUGUGGCAGCCUCUAAGGCUGUAAGCAACGAGGCUGUGCUUGUCUCAAGGUUUGCCUCUGCUGUUGCAAUUACAGCUGGGACAGGUCCAUGCGCUACUGCAGGUAGUUGAGGGGCUCGGUGGGUGUAACUGUUGUGAGUUUACCCUUGUUUGUAGUUGAAUGGUAGAGGGGACCUCAUUGGCAUGAUAAUGGAAAUUGUUGCUUGGCCUCUUUUCGCCUGUGUUUCUCAUAUCAUCUUAUCAACAGGACAAGUGCAGGCAGGGUUCUGAGGUAACAGGUUAAUCCUAUUUUUUGGGUUCUGGGUUCAUUCUGCUUUAUUUUCUCUUCAACCGUUAAAGUGUAAGUGUGUGUAUUAUAAGGGAUUUGAUUUAUAG
This 540-nucleotide unclassified non-coding RNA is filed under the name Hevea brasiliensis (rubber tree). The record is from RNAcentral. Lineage: Eukaryota; Viridiplantae; Streptophyta; Magnoliopsida; Malpighiales; Euphorbiaceae.